Molecule: ribosomal RNA, 497 nt
Filed under: uncultured bacterium
Lineage: Bacteria
Description: partial 16S ribosomal RNA
Rfam family: Bacterial small subunit ribosomal RNA
Source: RNAcentral
GAUGAACGCUGGCGGCGUGCCUAAUACAUGCAAGUCGAGCGAAAAGAUGAGGAGCUUGCUCCUCUGACGUUAGCGGCGGACGGGCGAGUAACACGUGGAUAACCUACCUAUCAGACUGGGAUAACUUAGGGAACCCGGAGCUGCUUCAGGCUACUAUAUUGAAUCGCCUGGUUUACUAGUGAAAGUAGGUUUUGCUGCGACUUAUAGAUGGAAUGGCGCCGCUUUAGCUGGUUGGUAAGGUAACGGCAUACCAAGGCAACGAUACGUAGGCGACCUGUGAGGGGAGGCAGCCACACUGGAACGGAAACGCGGUCCAGACUCCUACGGUAGGCAGCAGAGGGGUAUCUUCCGCAAUGGGCGGAAGCUUGGCGGAGCAACGCCGCGUGAGUGAUAAAAGGCUUCGGAUCUGAAAACUCUGUUAUUAGGGAAGAACAAUUGAGUAAGUAACGAGGCACGUCUUGAAGGUACCUAAUCAGAAAGCCACGGCUAACUACGUG